This is a non-coding RNA of Callorhinus ursinus (northern fur seal), 318 nucleotides long. The record is from RefSeq and is a predicted model, not a curated record. Lineage: Eukaryota; Metazoa; Chordata; Mammalia; Carnivora; Otariidae.
UGAAAUGGACAGAAGGCUUUGGAGAAAGAGGUGUCCCAGAUGAUCCAUACAUCUCUGGGUUGUAGAGCUGGAUGGAUGGAAAUGUCAUUCACAGAGAUAGAAAUUGCACGACGAGGACAGGGUGUGGUGGGGGGGGAGAACAGUCCUUACUAUUAUACGUGACACUUCAUGGCCUAAAAAUGUUUUUUAUGUUCUACCAUACUGAUUAAGUGGGAACGUUGACUGUUUAAAAGGAAAAAAAAAAAAAAACUGUUUCUUUUGGUGGGUCAUCCGGAUUUUCAAAAAGUUCUGCUUAAAACAUUUCCCUUAGAACUUAGU